ACAAAGACAAACCCUGAUUUCCGUGUCCAACAUUUGACCGUCCGUCUUAUUUGAAAAAAAUAUAAAAACAAUUAAAAAGACAAGUCACGCAUAAAAUAUUAAUCAUGUUUUAUCAUCUAACAACAAUGAAAAUACGAAUUAUAAAAAAAUUUCUUAUAAGACGGACAGUUAAAGUUGGACACGGAAACCCAGGGUUUGUCUUUUU
Molecule: microRNA precursor, 205 nt
Filed under: Oryza glumipatula
Lineage: Eukaryota; Viridiplantae; Streptophyta; Magnoliopsida; Poales; Poaceae
Description: MIR812 microRNA precursor family
Rfam family: MIR812 microRNA precursor family
Source: Rfam by way of RNAcentral